AAACCAGCACCUCAAGUGGUCAGGAGGAUUAUUGGGCCUAAAGCAUCCGUAGCCUGUUCUGUAAGUUUUCGGUUAAAUCCACUAGCUCAACUAGUGGGCUGCCGAAAAUACUGUAGAACUAGGGAGUGGGAGAGGUAGACGGUAUUCGGUAGGAAGGGGUAAAAUCCUUUGAUCUAUUGAGGACCACCUGUGGCGAAGGCGGUCUACCAGAACACGUUCGACGGUGAGGGAUGAAAGCUGGGGGAGCAAACCGGAUUAGAUACCCGGGUAGUCC
This 274-nucleotide ribosomal RNA is filed under the name uncultured bacterium. RNAcentral's name for it is "partial 16S ribosomal RNA". It matches the Rfam family "Archaeal small subunit ribosomal RNA", at positions 473 to 747 of the family's 1478-position model. The record is from RNAcentral.